Long non-coding RNA from Tupaia belangeri chinensis (Chinese tree shrew), 203 nucleotides. RefSeq lists it as uncharacterized. NCBI's taxonomy places the organism in Eukaryota, Metazoa, Chordata, Mammalia, Scandentia, Tupaiidae. The transcript has 3 exons. The record is from RefSeq and is a predicted model, not a curated record.
AGAGUAAAAUCAUAUGAGAAAAAAAAAGAAGGACAUGGAAGACACCUGCUCUUCCCUGAGGUCUGUGAAAGCAGCAAAGGAAGUGCAAUACAAAACACUGCAAACAAAAGUAGAAAAUAUCUAUGACAUCUGCGAAGGAAGUAGGAAGGCUGCAGAGGAGAAGCUAUUUAUGAGACGAUGUGAGUGGGAAGAGAAAGAAAAGA